GAGUGUAAGUUCACCAUACUCCUCCAUCCAGACUCCUCCUCCUUCUCUUCCCUGUGGAGGCCUCCUCAUCGUCCCGCCUCCUCUUCCUCAGGUGAUCAGGGUUAGGGUGGAGCUGGACUGGGCUCCUCCUUAGUUACUGAGGAACUAAAAAGGUUCACCGCGCCUUUACUGGUAAACUGUCUCAUCUCUAUAUGUCAAAUCUAAAUGAGAAAUUCUGUUCAUUUUAUCAGUCAAUAAAUCCGAACCAAGGUGAUUUAAACUAAAUGAUACCACGUGUGUGUAAAGGUAAAGGGGAGUUUACCUGAAAUACACUGCAUGUGUUACACUCGUCCGUAAACGGGCAGAAAAGUCGUUAAACAAAAUCACGAGUGCAGUUUUCUCGGUCAUCCGUUUAUUCCGAGCACAACACAACAACAGGAACUGCCGCCGAUUUUUCCUGCCAGAAAACGUAGGUGAAGACAAAGAUAAUCAAUCGUCACCUAACAGAUCAAGACCUUUUAAUGGAUGACAGAUAAAAAAAUACCUACAAUAAGCAUGAAAUAAACAAUGAACCUCUUUGUGAUGUCGGUUAAAGCAACAGCACAUUGUGUAUAGACAAAACAUGUUAAUGUGACGGGCGGUAAAUCAAAAUGAGACACACACGAAUUAUUACAUUUUUACAAAAAAGUAUGUUUUUAUUUUUUAUUUUUUAAAUCUUAUGUAAAUAUUGACUCAAAAUAGUAUGUUAGUCUUUAUAAAUAGUAUUUUCUCAUUUAACAUCAUGGUGAGAGUACUUGAAUUAAUGGUCUUAAGAUUUGGAAACACACUUUUGCACAUUCAGACUGACUCUGUUAACAAGUUACGUAACAUUACUGCUCUUUUGGGUAGAAUUGUUUUUUAAUUGGCCAAGGCUUCGGUAGGAGUCUCGUUAUUUUGAUUAACUUAGCCGCUCAGGGCUUCUAUAAACAUCGUUGUGUGAAGAUAUAUAAUGUUUCUGUCUUUUCUCUUUAAUGAUCUCUGGACCCCCUGGAUGGGAACCACCGACCUGAGCCCCCCAAAAAGCCAUGUCCGGCCCUGGAUGUGGGUUUGGUUUUCCCACCGCCGAGCGGCUCGGUGUUCAGAGGCGCGCUGGAGGCCACUCAGAGCGGAGCAGCCGUCCACCGGUCUCCGGCCUGGUAAACCGACACCUGUCCGCCACAUUCACCACCUUCCUCCUCCGCCUCCUCCUCCUCCUCCUCCUCCUCGGUGUGUUUGCCGGAGGUGUGAGCUCGGUCCUCGGGUAUGAAGAACAAACACAACCAACAGGUGAAGGCAGCGGCUCCGGACCGACUCGACAUGUCGAGCUUCGAGGUGUCUCUCCAGCAGCUCAAUGAUCUGUUGACAGACGACAGCGGCUUCUACAGCUGGCCGACCAAACACUUCCACGAGGUUUACCCGAGGAUUUACGUCGGCAAUGCGUUUGUGGCGACGAACGUGAUGCGUCUGAAGCGUCUGGGCGUCACCCACAUCCUGAACGCAGCGGAGGGAAACUCCUUCAUGCACGUCAACACCAACAACGAGUUCUACGCUGGCACGGGCGUCAUCUACCACGGGAUACCAGCCAGCGACACCGACCACUUCGACAUCAGCGUUUACUUCGAAGAGGCGGCAGAUUUCAUCGAGAAGGCGCUGGCAUACAAAAAUGGAAAAGGUAAAGUGUACGUUCAUUGCAGGGAAGGCUACAGCCGCUCGCCAACCUUAGUCAUAGCCUACCUGAUGCUUCGCCAGAACAUGGACGUCCACACCGCUCUGGCCAUGGUGCGGCAGAAAAGAGAAAUCGGACCCAACGACGGCUUCCUGCGGCAGCUCUGUCGGCUCAGCCAGAGGCUGGCUGCUGAGGGAAAGCUCUGGAACAAGUGAGGCACGCGGCGAGGCAGACGGAUUGUCUGUAAGAGAGAGCAAAUGUAUGGCUUAAUGGCACAUCACUUUGUUUCACUUGCUCUACAGCUUCAACAAGCCGCAGCUGUCUCCAGAGAUGGAAAGCAACGCCAAUGCCAAUCUCGUCUCUAUCGCGUCUUUUGUUCUAUGCUAACUUGCUAACUUCAUUAGAACAAAGACUGUAAAAUAAGUGUAUUUCCCCCAACGUGGAACUAAACGUCUGGAUAAUGGUAAUAUUCUUCACUCACGGCCUGCCGUAGCUGCUGAGGCUAGAUGACCUGUGACCACACGAGUGAAACCUCCGAUUGUAAUUCAAACACUGCCACAAUGUGUGUUUGCUAGUAACCUCAACAUGUAGGAUCACUUCCGAGUCGACACAUUUUUGCACAUUAGUGUGUGUUUUUGUCUGAGUAUAGACAGUUUUAUAUUGCAUGCUUUGUAAUAUGUAUGUGAGCCAAAGAGUCGUUUAUAUUCCUUUGUUAGCACAGCUGUGUAACUACAGUAUGCGUAUUCAUAGUGUGCAUUAUUCAAUGUGCAUUACACAGUAUGUCACAAUGUGCAUUAUUGAGCCUGUGACUUUUGAAUCAUCGUGUGCAUUACCUAGUAGGAUGUAAUGUAGUUGUUGGCGUCAGUAGGCUUUCAUUGAGUCUCAAGAUGAUGACACUGCUUAUAUGAAGUGCACUUUAUCCAAUGACACUGGUGAUUGUUGUUGCUCUUUUCAUACAUUCAGAAAUAAACUGUGAAAAAUGA
RNA transcript from Seriola aureovittata, 2646 nucleotides. It is a transcript of the gene named dual specificity protein phosphatase 3-like, with no coding region annotated. The transcript has 4 exons. The record is from RefSeq and is a predicted model, not a curated record. NCBI's taxonomy places the organism in Eukaryota, Metazoa, Chordata, Actinopteri, Carangiformes, Carangidae.